RNAcentral lists this ribosomal RNA (483 nucleotides) under uncultured bacterium. RNAcentral describes it as "partial 16S ribosomal RNA". It matches the Rfam family "Bacterial small subunit ribosomal RNA", at positions 28 to 507 of the family's 1533-position model. The record is from RNAcentral.
GACGAACGCUGGCGGCGUGCCUAACACAUGCAAGUCGAGCGGGGAUUUAAGUGGAAGUUCGUCGGAAUGGAGAGUUAAAUUCUAGCGGCGGACGGGUGAGUAACGCGUGAACAAUCUGUCCCGGACAGGGGGAUAACACUUGGAAACAGGUGCUAAUACCGCAUAAGACCACGGCCUCGCAUGGGGCUGAGGUAAAAGGAGCAAUCCGGUUCGGGGUGAGUUCGCGUCCGAUUAGCUAGUUGGUGAGGUAACGGCCCACCAAGGCGACGAUCGGUAGCCGGCCUGAGAGGGUGAACGGCCACAUUGGAACUGAGAGACGGUCCAAACUCCUACGGGAGGCAGCAGUGGGGAAUAUUGGGCAAUGGGCGAAAGCCUGACCCAGCAACGCCGCGUGAGGGAAGAAGGUUUUCGGAUUGUAAACCUCUGUCCUAUGGGACGAAGGAAGUGACGGUACCAUAGGAGGAAGCCCCGGCUAACUACGUG